UACGUAGGGUGCGAGCGUUGUCCGGAAUUAUUGGGCGUAAAGAGCUCGUAGGCGGCUUGUUGCGUCGGAUGUGAAAGCCCGGGGCUUAACUCCGGGUCUGCAUUCGAUACGGGCAGGCUAGAGUUCGGUAGGGGAGAUCGGAAUUCCUGGUGUAGCGGUGAAAUGCGCAGAUAUCAGGAAGAACACCCGUGGCGAAGGCGGCUCUCUGGGACGGUACUGACGCUGAGACGCGAAAGCGUGGGGAGCGAACAGG
Molecule: ribosomal RNA, 253 nt
Filed under: uncultured bacterium
Lineage: Bacteria
Description: partial 16S ribosomal RNA
Rfam family: Bacterial small subunit ribosomal RNA
Source: RNAcentral